Molecule: ribosomal RNA, 526 nt
Filed under: Fusarium sp.
Lineage: Eukaryota; Fungi; Ascomycota; Sordariomycetes; Hypocreales; Nectriaceae
Description: eukaryotic LSU rRNA
Rfam family: 5.8S ribosomal RNA (bases 181-334)
Source: RNAcentral
CUCCGUUGGUGAACCAGCGGAGGGAUCAUUACCGAGUUUACAACUCCCAAACCCCUGUGAACAUACCUUACUGUUGCCUCGGCGGAUCAGCCCGCUCCCGGUAAAACGGGACGGCCCGCCAGAGGACCCCUAAACUCUGUUUCUAUAUGUAACUUCUGAGUAAAACCAUAAAUAAAUCAAAACUUUCAACAACGGAUCUCUUGGUUCUGGCAUCGAUGAAGAACGCAGCAAAAUGCGAUAAGUAAUGUGAAUUGCAGAAUUCAGUGAAUCAUCGAAUCUUUGAACGCACAUUGCGCCCGCCAGUAUUCUGGCGGGCAUGCCUGUUCGAGCGUCAUUUCAACCCUCAAGCCCUCGGGUUUGGUGUUGGGGAUCGGCGAGCCUUUCUGGCAAGCCGGCCCCGAAAUCUAGUGGCGGUCUCGCUGCAGCCUCCAUUGCGUAGUAGUAAAACCCUCGCAACUGGAACGCGGCGCGGCCAAGCCGUUAAACCCCCAACUUCUGAAUGUUGACCUCGGAUCAGGUAGGAAUA